RNAcentral lists this ribosomal RNA (698 nucleotides) under uncultured Bacteroidales bacterium. RNAcentral describes it as "bacterial SSU rRNA". It matches the Rfam family "Bacterial small subunit ribosomal RNA", at positions 47 to 734 of the family's 1533-position model. The record is from RNAcentral. Lineage: Bacteria; Pseudomonadati; Bacteroidota; Bacteroidia; Bacteroidales.
CUUAACACAUGCAAGUCGAGGGGCAGCAUGGUCUUAGCUUGCUAAGGCCGAUGGCGACCGGCGCACGGGUGAGUAACACGUAUCCAACCUGCCGUCUACUCUUGGACAGCCUUCUGAAAGGAAGAUUAAUACAAGAUGGCAUCAUGAGUCCGCAUGUUCACAUGAUUAAAGGUAUUCCGGUAGACGAUGGGGAUGCGUUCCAUUAGAUAGUAGGCGGGGUAACGGCCCACCUAGUCUUCGAUGGAUAGGGGUUCUGAGAGGAAGGUCCCCCACAUUGGAACUGAGACACGGUCCAAACUCCUACGGGAGGCAGCAGUGAGGAAUAUUGGUCAAUGGGCGCAGGCCUGAACCAGCCAAGUAGCGUGAAGGAUGACUGCCCUAUGGGUUGUAAACUUCUUUUAUAAAGGAAUAAAGUCGGGUAUGUAUACCCGUUUGCAUGUACUUUAUGAAUAAGGAUCGGCUAACUCCGUGCCAGCAGCCGCGGUAAUACGGAGGAUCCGAGCGUUAUCCGGAUUUAUUGGGUUUAAAGGGAGCGUAGAUGGAUGUUUAAGUCAGUUGUGAAAGUUUGCGGCUCAACCCGUAAAUUGCAGUUGAUACUGGAUAUCUUGAGUGCAGUUGAGGCAGGCGGAAUUCGUGGUGUAGCGGUGAAAUGCUUAGAUAUCACGAAGAACUCCGAUUGCGAAGGCAGCCUGCUAAGC